This 774-nucleotide ribosomal RNA is filed under the name uncultured bacterium. RNAcentral describes it as "bacterial SSU rRNA". It matches the Rfam family "Bacterial small subunit ribosomal RNA", at positions 8 to 796 of the family's 1533-position model. The record is from RNAcentral.
AGAGUUUGAUCAUGGCUCAGGACGAACGCUGGCGGCGUGCUUAACACAUGCAAGUCAAGGGGGCCCGCAAGGGCAACCGGCGAACGGGUGCGUAACACGUGAGCAACCUACCGAGAUCUGGGGGAUAGCCGGCCCAACGGCCGGGUAAUACCGCAUACGCUCUUUCCACGGCAUUGUGGAUUGAGGAAACCUCCGGGGGAUUUCGAGGGGCUCGCGGCCUAUCAGCUAGUUGGCGAGGUCACGGCUCACCAAGGCGACGACGGGUAGCUGGUCUGAGAGGAUGGCCAGCCACAUUGGGACUGAGAAACGGCCCAGACUCCUACGGGAGGCAGCAGUGGGGAAUCUUGCGCAAUGGCCGAAAGGCUGACGCAGCGACGCCGCGUGUGGGAGGAAGCCUUUCGGGGUGUAAACCACUGUUGCCCGGGACGAACAGCUCCUUCGUGGAGCCUGACGGUACCGGGUGAGGAAGCACCGGCUAACUCCGUGCCAGCAGCCGCGGUAAUACGGGGGGUGCGAGCGUUGUCCGGAAUCACUGGGCGUAAAGGGCGCGUAGGUGGCUUGGCAAGCGCGUGGUGAAAGCCCGGGGCUCAACCCCGGGUCUGCCGUGCGAACUGCUAUGGCUUGAGCACUGUAGAGGCAGGUAGAAUUCCGGGUGUAGCGGUGGAAUGCAGAGAUCCGGAAGAAUACCGGUGGCGAAGGCGGCCUGCUGGGCAGUGGCUGACACUGAGGCGCGACAGCGUGGGGAGCAAACAGGAUUAGAUACCCUAGUAGUCC